RNAcentral lists this long non-coding RNA (417 nucleotides) under Elaeis guineensis (African oil palm). Its description in RNAcentral is "long non-coding RNA (EGUI_LNC040932)". The record is from RNAcentral. Lineage: Eukaryota; Viridiplantae; Streptophyta; Magnoliopsida; Arecales; Arecaceae.
AUGGACAUCGUCUCCACCACCGACGCCUGUGGUAUCCAUCAAAUAGGACGAUGAUGUCGUUGUUGUCGGUGAGGCCUCGAUCAGGCCUACCAGUGCGGUUCAAGCCCUGCCUAUGCAGGGUGAGUUGGAUGUUGAUCGGGUCACGAUGCACGGAGACGAUGACCAAGGGAAGGCCCCAAUGCCCUCCACAUUCACUACUGAGCUUGGCAUUUUGGACUCUUCCGAAGAGGCAUAUAUUACGCUUGGAAUGCGCAUCAAAGCAACUAAUAUGGUGCUCCGAGAUCAUCGACUCAUCAAGGAAUUGAUGAAGAUGGUGAUGCUCCCCAUCGACUGAGAAGAAAGAAAGGCCCACCCAGUCGAGGAAAUCAUAUCGAGCUCCUAUGCGUCAUUGGUGUCGAUAAGUCUUGAUGUCCAUCU